AGUUUGAUCCUGGCUCAGAUUGAACGCUGGCGGCAUGCCUUACACAUGCAAGUCGAACGGUAACAGGUCUUCGGAUGCUGACGAGUGGCGAACGGGUGAGUAAUACAUCGGAACGUGCCCGAGAGUGGGGGAUAACGAAGCGAAAGCUUUGCUAAUACCGCAUACGAUCUCAGGAUGAAAGCAGGGGACCGCAAGGCCUUGCGCUCACGGAGCGGCCGAUGGCAGAUUAGGUAGUUGGUGGGAUAAAAGCUUACCAAGCCGACGAUCUGUAGCUGGUCUGAGAGGACGACCAGCCACACUGGGACUGAGGCACGGCCCAGACUCCUACGGGAGGCAGCAGUGGGGAAUUUUGGACAAUGGGCGCAAGCCUGAUCCAGCCAUGCCGCGUGCAGGAUGAAGGCCUUCGGGUUGUAAACUGCUUUUGUACGGAACGAAAAGACUCUGGUUAAUACCUGGGGUCCAUGACGGUACCGUAAGAAUAAGCACCGGCUAACUACGUGCCAGCAGCCGCGGUAAUACGUAGGGUGCGAGCGUUAAUCGGAAUUACUGGGCGUAAAGCGUGCGCAGGCGGUUAUAUAAGACAGAUGUGAAAUCCCCGGGCUCAACCUGGGAACUGCAUUUGUGACUGUAUAGCUAGAGUACGGCAGAGGGGGAUGGAAUUCCGCGUGUAGCAGUGAAAUGCGUAG
Molecule: ribosomal RNA, 686 nt
Filed under: uncultured bacterium
Lineage: Bacteria
Description: bacterial SSU rRNA
Rfam family: Bacterial small subunit ribosomal RNA
Source: RNAcentral